UGCGAUGCAUUAGCUAGUUGGUAAGGGUAACGGGCUUUACCCAAGGCGAUGAUGCAUAGCCCGAGUUGAGAGACUGAUCGGGCCACAUUGGGACUGAGACACGGCCAAAACUCCUACGGGGAGGCAGCAGUAGGGAAUCUUCCACAAUGGACGAAAGUCUGAUGGAGCAAACGCCGCGUGAAUGAAGAAGGUUUUCGGAUCGUAAAAGCUCUGUCGUUGGUGAAGAAGGAUAGAGGUAGUAACUGGCCUUUAUUUGACGGUAAUCAACCAGAAGUCACGGCUAACUACGUGCCAGCAGCCGCGGUAAU
Molecule: ribosomal RNA, 308 nt
Filed under: uncultured Lactobacillus sp.
Lineage: Bacteria; Bacillati; Bacillota; Bacilli; Lactobacillales; Lactobacillaceae
Description: bacterial SSU rRNA
Rfam family: Bacterial small subunit ribosomal RNA
Source: RNAcentral